GACGAACGCUAGCGGCGUGCCUAAGCUAUGCAAGUCGAGCGGGGUUUCAGAGUCGAGUUUCCUUCGGGAGACAAAGCACUGAAACCUAGCGGCGAACGGGUGAGUAACACGUGAGCAACCUACCCUGUUGUCCGGGAUAACAGACCGAAAGGCCUGCUAAUACCGGAUACGAAGCUCCUUCGCAUGUUGGAGCUUGGAAAGGGGCAACCCGCAAUGGGAGGGGCUUACGGCCUAUCAGCUAGUUGGUGAGGUAACGGCCCACCAAGGCGACGACGGGUAGCCGACCUGAGAGGGUGACCGGCCACACUGGGACUGAGACACGGCCCAGACUCCUACGGGAGGCAGCAAGCGGGAAUCUUGCACAAUGGGCGCAAGCCUGAUGCAGCGACGCCGCGUGAGGGAUGAAGGCCUUCGGGUCGUAAACCUCUGUUGAUGGGGACGAAGAUCUGACGGUACCC
This 458-nucleotide ribosomal RNA is filed under the name uncultured bacterium. Its description in RNAcentral is "bacterial SSU rRNA". It matches the Rfam family "Bacterial small subunit ribosomal RNA", at positions 28 to 480 of the family's 1533-position model. The record is from RNAcentral.